Molecule: ribosomal RNA, 484 nt
Filed under: uncultured bacterium
Lineage: Bacteria
Description: bacterial SSU rRNA
Rfam family: Bacterial small subunit ribosomal RNA
Source: RNAcentral
AAUCAACGCUGGCGGCGUGCCUCAGACAUGCAAGUCGAACGAUUAAAACUCUCUUCGGAGAGUGCAUAGAGUGGCGCACGGGUGAGUAACACGUAAGUAAUCUACCUUCGAGUGGGGGAUAACGUCCGGAAACGGACGCUAAUACCGCAUAAUGCAGCGGCAUCGCAAGAUGACAGUUGUUAAAGGAGCAAUUCGCUUGAAGAGGAGCUUGCGGCAGAUUAGCUAGUUGGUAAGGUAAUGGCUUACCAAGGCUACGAUCUGUAACCGGUCUAAGAGGACGGUCGGUCACACUGACACUGAAUAACGGGUCAGACUCCUACGGGAGGCAGCAGUCGGGAAUUUUGGGCAAUGGGCGAAAGCCUGACCCAGCAACGCCGCGUGAAGGAUGAAGUAUUUCGGUAUGUAAACUUCGAAAGAAUAGGAAGAAUAAAUGACGGUACUAUUUAUAAGGUCCGGCUAACUACGUGCCAGCAGCCGCCGUAAC